This 492-nucleotide ribosomal RNA is filed under the name uncultured bacterium. RNAcentral's name for it is "partial 16S ribosomal RNA". It matches the Rfam family "Bacterial small subunit ribosomal RNA", at positions 29 to 507 of the family's 1533-position model. The record is from RNAcentral.
AGUGAACGCUGGCGGUAGGCCUAACACAUGCAAGUCGAACGGCAGCACAGUAAGAGCUUGCUCUUACGGGUGGCGAGUGGCGGACGGGUGAGGAAUACAUCGGAAUCUACUUUUUCGUGGGGGAUAACGUAGGAAAACUUACGCUAAUACCGCAUACGACCUACGGGUGAAAGCAGGGGAUCUUCGGACCUUGCGCGAUUGAAUGAGCCGAUGUCGGAUUAGCUAGUUGGCGGGGUAAAGGCCCACCAAGGCGACGAUCCGUAGCUGGUCUGAGAGGAUGAUCAGCCACACUGGAACUGAGACACGGUCCAGACUCCUACGGGAGGCAGCAGUGGGGAAUAUUGGACAAUGGGCGCAGGCCUGAUCCAGCCAUACCGCGUGGGUGAAGAAGGCCUUCGGGUUGUAAAGCCCUUUUGUUGGGAAAGAAAAGCAGCAGGUUAAUACCCCGCUGUUCUGACGGUACCCAAAGAAUAAGCACCGGCUAACUUCGUG